UACGGAGGGUGCAAGCGUUAAUCGGAAUUACUGGGCGUAAAGCGUGCGUAGGCGGUUCGUUAAGUCUGCUGUGAAAGCCCCGGGCUCAACCUGGGAAUGGCAGUGGAUACUGGCGAGCUGGAGUGUGAUAGAGGAUGGUGGAAUUCCCGGUGUAGCGGUGAAAUGCGUAGAGAUCGGGAGGAACAUCAGUGGCGAAGGCGGCCAUCUGGAUCAACACUGACGCUGAGGCACGAAAGCGUGGGGAGCAAACAGG
RNAcentral lists this ribosomal RNA (253 nucleotides) under uncultured bacterium. Its description in RNAcentral is "partial 16S ribosomal RNA". It matches the Rfam family "Bacterial small subunit ribosomal RNA", at positions 524 to 776 of the family's 1533-position model. The record is from RNAcentral.